GGCUCGCAUCCUGAUGCUGAUCACUCAACUCUGCAGAGGAAGACAAAGGAGGGUGCAGCCAAAGAUUAUUAUUCUAACGAUGACUCCUGAUGAAAUGUGUCCUCGGUUGACAUGAUGAAAUCUUGCCUUUCUUCAUUUAUGGCCUGGGACGAGAUGCUUCAUCUCUUGUCAUCAGCCAACUGAAGAAGACUGUGGCAACACUGGGCAGCUGUGAGUAGAUGUGGAGUGCUCGGAAACCAUGAGAAUGAAGA
Long non-coding RNA from Lampris incognitus (smalleye Pacific opah), 251 nucleotides. RefSeq lists it as uncharacterized. NCBI's taxonomy places the organism in Eukaryota, Metazoa, Chordata, Actinopteri, Lampriformes, Lampridae. The record is from RefSeq and is a predicted model, not a curated record. The transcript is spliced from 3 exons.